GUACCCCAAAGUGAGGGAUAAGCACCAGAAAUGGUGUCUAAUACCGCAUGUGCUCUAAGGAGUAAAGCUCCGGCGCUUUGGGAACGGCCUGCGCAUGAUUAGCUAGAUGGUGAGGUAAUGGCUCACCAUGGCGACGAUCAUUAGCUGGUCUGAGAGGAUGAUCAGCCAGACUGGGACUGAGACACGGCCCAGACUCCUACGGGAGGCAGCAGUAGGGAAUUUUCCACAAUGGGCGAAAGCCUGAUGGAGCAACGCCGCGUGCAGGAUGAAUGCCUUCGGGUUGUAAACUGCUUUUAUAUGUGACGAAUAUGACGGUAGCAUAUGAAUAAGGAUCGGCUAACUCCGUGCCAGCAGCCGCGGUCAUACGGAGGAUCCAAGCGUUAUCCGGAAUUACUGGGCGUAAAGAGUUGCGUAGGCGGCAUAGUAAGCAGAUAGUGAAAGCGUGUGGCUC
Molecule: ribosomal RNA, 451 nt
Filed under: bacterium enrichment culture
Lineage: Bacteria
Description: bacterial SSU rRNA
Rfam family: Bacterial small subunit ribosomal RNA
Source: RNAcentral